Molecule: ribosomal RNA, 451 nt
Filed under: uncultured bacterium
Lineage: Bacteria
Description: bacterial SSU rRNA
Rfam family: Bacterial small subunit ribosomal RNA
Source: RNAcentral
GACGCAACGCGAAGAACCUUACCAGGUCUUGACAUUGAUGGACGAGAACUAGAGAUAGUUCCUCUUCUUCGGAAGCCAGAAAACAAGGUGGUGCACGGUUGUCGUCAGCUCGUGUCGUGAGAUGUUGGGUUAAGUCCCGCAACGAGCGCAACCCCUACUCUUAUGUUGCCAGCACUUCGGGUGGGGAACUCAUGAGAGACUGCCGCAGACAAUGCGGAGGAAGGCGGGGAUGACGUCAAAUCAUCAUGCCCCUUAUGACCUGGGCUACACACGUACUACAAUGGGAGUUAAUAGACGGAAGCAAUACCGCGAGGUGGAGCAAACCCGAGAAACACUCUCUCAGUUCGGAUCGUAGGCUGCAACUCGCCUACGUGAAGUCGGAAUCGCUAGUAAUCGCAGGUCAGCAUACUGCGGUGAAUACGUUCCGGGCUUGUACACGUCGACGCGGCCG